RNAcentral lists this ribosomal RNA (1071 nucleotides) under Dothiorella oblonga. Its description in RNAcentral is "partial large subunit ribosomal RNA". It matches the Rfam family "Eukaryotic large subunit ribosomal RNA", at positions 182 to 1133 of the family's 3401-position model. The record is from RNAcentral. Lineage: Eukaryota; Fungi; Ascomycota; Dothideomycetes; Botryosphaeriales; Botryosphaeriaceae.
UAAGUCCCCUGGAACGGGGCGUCAUAGAGGGUGAGAAUCCCGUAUGUGAUCGGUUGCCUUAGCCAUGUGAAUCUCCUUCGACGAGUCGAGUUGUUUGGGAAUGCAGCUCUAAAUGGGAGGUAAAUUUCUUCUAAAGCUAAAUACCGGCCAGAGACCGAUAGCGCACAAGUAGAGUGAUCGAAAGAUGAAAAGCACUUUGGAAAGAGAGUUAAAAAGUACGUGAAAUUGUUGAAAGGGAAGCGCUUGCAGUCAGACUUGUCCGCGGUUGCUCAGCCGGUCUCUUGACCGGCGUACUCUUCCGCGGCCAGGCCAGCAUCAGUUCGGGCGGUCGGAUAAAGGCCCCGGGAAUGUAGCUCCUCUCGGGGAGUGUUAUAGCCCGGGGUGGAAUGCGGCCAGCCUGGACUGAGGAUCUCGCUUCGGCUAGGAUGCUGGCGUAAUGGCUGUAAGCGGCCCGUCUUGAAACACGGACCAAGGAGUCUAACAUCUAUGCGAGUGUUUGGGUGUCAAACCCAUACGCGUAAUGAAAGUGAACGGAGGUGGGAACCCUCACGGGUGCACCAUCGACCGAUCCUGAUGUCUUCGGAUGGAUUUGAGUAAGAGCAUAGCUGUUGGGACCCGAAAGAUGGUGAACUAUGCCUGAAUAGGGUGAAGCCAGAGGAAACUCUGGUGGAGGCUCGCAGCGGUUCUGACGUGCAAAUCGAUCGUCAAAUUUGGGUAUAGGGGCGAAAGACUAAUCGAACCAUUAACCGGGCACGCUUUUUCAAAAGCGGGCUGCUAGGUGGUUAAGAGGCGACGUUGUAAAGCGUCGGCCUAGUCCCUCCAUUCGGGGCAACACUGUUAAAUUGUUCGGGGACCUCCUUAGAGCCUAAGCUACCGCGGCCGCGUCGAAAGACGCGGUGCAGCACCAGGGUAACGACCUCGGGUACGGUAAACAACGCUUAGGAUUGGACAACCCGCAGCCAAGCUCCUACGGCCCUCGUGGCACGGAGAAGGUUCACAGACUAGAUAGCAGUGGGUCCGGCAGCGAUGCCGGGCUUAAGAUAUAGUCGAUCCCCACGGAGACGUGGGCGG